UUAUGCUGGUUACAUGGACAUAGGCGGGUACGCCAAGGAAGCUCGAGGCAAUUGCAGAUUUGUAAUGCCCCUAGAUGUCCUGGGUCGCACGCGUGCUACAAUGACGCCACGAACGAGCUUGCGUGAUGAAAGUUACGCAUAAUCAGCAGUCGGCGUCUUAAGGGAUAGUCUCUUGUAACUGUGGGACUCCAACUAGGAAUGUCUCGUAAGCACAAGUCAACAUCUUGUGUUGAUUACGUCCCUGCUCUUUGUACACACCGCCCGUCGCUCCUACCGAUCGAGUGUUUAGGUGAAUUUGAUGGACGUAAGGAAGUCAAAUAAACCUGAGCACUAGAGAAGAGAGUCUACAUC
RNAcentral lists this ribosomal RNA (351 nucleotides) under uncultured Myrionecta. RNAcentral's name for it is "bacterial SSU rRNA". It matches the Rfam family "Eukaryotic small subunit ribosomal RNA", at positions 1402 to 1790 of the family's 1831-position model. Lineage: Eukaryota; Ciliophora; Litostomatea; Cyclotrichida; Mesodiniidae. The record is from RNAcentral.